UAACGUCCGUCGUGAAGAGGGAAACAACCCAGACCGCCAGCUAAGGUCCCAAAGUCAUGGUUAAGUGGGAAACGAUGUGGGAAGGCCCAGACAGCCAGGAUGUUGGCUUAGAAGCAGCCAUCAUUUAAAGAAAGCGUAAUAGCUCACUGGUCGAGUCGGCCUGCGCGGAAGAUGUAACGGGGCUAAACCAUGCACCGAAGCUGCGGCAGCGACGCUUAUGCGUUGUUGGGUAGGGGAGCGUUCUGUAAGCCUGUGAAGGUGUGCUGUGAGGCAUGCUGGAGGUAUCAGAAGUGCGAAUGCUGACAUAAGUAACGAUAAAGCGGGUGAAAAGCCCGCUCGCCGGAAGACCAAGGGUUCCUGUCCAACGUUAAUCGGGGCAGGGUGAGUCGACCCCUAAGGCGAGGCCGAAAGGCGUAGUCGAUGGGAAACAGGUUAAUAUUCCUGUACUUGGUGUUACUGCGAAGGGGGGACGGAGAAGGCUAUGUUGGCCGGGCGACGGUUGUCCCGGUUUAAGCGUGUAGGCUGGUUUUCCAGGCAAAUCCGGAAAAUCAAGGCUGAGGCGUGAUGACGAGGCACUACGGUGCUGAAGCAACAAAUGCCCUG
Molecule: ribosomal RNA, 603 nt
Filed under: Escherichia coli
Lineage: Bacteria; Pseudomonadati; Pseudomonadota; Gammaproteobacteria; Enterobacterales; Enterobacteriaceae
Description: partial 23S ribosomal RNA
Rfam family: Bacterial large subunit ribosomal RNA
Source: RNAcentral